This 440-nucleotide ribosomal RNA is filed under the name Malirekus iroquois. Its description in RNAcentral is "partial 12S ribosomal RNA". Lineage: Eukaryota; Metazoa; Arthropoda; Insecta; Plecoptera; Perlodidae. The record is from RNAcentral.
UAAACUACGAUUAGAUACCCUAUUAUUUUAAAUGUGAAGUAUUUAUACUUGAGUAGUAAAAGUUAUGGUCUUGAAACUCAAAGAAUUUGGCGGUGUUUUAGUCCCUUCAGAGGAACCUGUUCCAUGAUCGAUAAUCCACGAUAGACCUUACUUAAUCUAGUUGUCAGUUUAUAUAUCGCCGUCGUCAGAGUGUCCUAUAAGGGUUUGAAAUACUCUUUAGUUUAAAAGAUAAUUUAAAAAGAUAAUUUAGAAGAUAAUUUAUAGAAGGAUGUCAGGUCAAGGUGUAGCUAAUGGUUAAGCGGAAAUGGGUUACAAUAGAGAUAUUUAUUACGGAUAAUAGUUGAAAUAACGAAAUUGAAGGUGGAUUUGAAAGUAAUUUUAUAUAGUAUAAUAUAUUGAUCAUAGGCUCUAAAACAUGCACACAUCGCCCGUCGCUCUUA